This 582-nucleotide ribosomal RNA is filed under the name uncultured bacterium. RNAcentral describes it as "bacterial SSU rRNA". It matches the Rfam family "Bacterial small subunit ribosomal RNA", at positions 897 to 1484 of the family's 1533-position model. The record is from RNAcentral.
AAACUCAAAGGAAUUGACGGGGGCCCGCACAAGCGGUGGAGCAUGUGGUUUAAUUCGAAGCAACGCGAAGAACCUUACCAGGUCUUGACAUCCCGGUGCCCGUCCUAGAGAUAGGAUUUUGCUUCGGCACACCGGUGACAGGUGGUGCAUGGUUGUCGUCAGCUCGUGUCGUGAGAUGUUGGGUUAAGUCCCGCAACGAGCGCAACCCUUAUUGUUAGUUGCCAUCAUUCAGUUGGGCACUCUAGCGAGACUGCCGGUAAUAAACCGGAGGAAGGUGGGGAUGACGUCAAAUCAUCAUGCCCCUUAUGACCUGGGCUACACACGUGCUACAAUGGCUGGUACAACGAGUCGCAAGUCGGUGACGGCAAGCUAAUCUCUUAAAGCCAGUCUCAGUUCGGAUUGUAGGCUGCAACUCGCCUACAUGAAGUCGGAAUCGCUAGUAAUCGCGGAUCAGCACGCCGCGGUGAAUACGUUCCCGGGCCUUGUACACACCGCCCGUCACACCACGAGAGUUUGUAACACCCGAAGUCGGUGAGGUAACCUUUUAGGAGCCAGCCGCCUAAGGUGGAAAUAGGGGGUGGU